This 433-nucleotide ribosomal RNA is filed under the name uncultured bacterium. Its description in RNAcentral is "partial 16S ribosomal RNA". It matches the Rfam family "Bacterial small subunit ribosomal RNA", at positions 29 to 507 of the family's 1533-position model. The record is from RNAcentral.
AACGAACGCUGGCGGCAGGCCUAACACAUGCAAGUCGAGCGAGGACUUCGGUUCUAGCGGCGGACGGGUGAGUAACGCGUGGGAAUGUGCCCUUCUCUACGGAAUAGCCCUGGGAAACUGGGAGUAAUACCGUAUACGCCCUUUCGGGGUAAGAUCUAUCGGAGAAGGAUCAGCCCGCGUUGGAUUAGGUAGUUGGUGGGGUAAUGGCCUACCAAGCCGACGAUGCAUAGCUGGUUUGAGAGGAUGACCAGCCACACUGGAACUGAGACACGGCCCAGACUCCUACGGGAGGCAGCAGUGGGGAAUCUUAGACAAUGGGGGCAACCCUGAUCUAGCCAUGCCGCGUGAGUGAUGAAGGCCUUAGGGUUGUAAAGCUCUUUCAGCUGGGAAGAUAAUGACGGUACCAGCAGAAGAAGCCCCGGCUAACUCCGUG